GACGAACGCUGGCGGCGUGCUUAACACAUGCAAGUCGAACGUGAUUUUUGUGGAAAUUCUUUCGGGAAUGGAAAUGAAAUGAAAGUGGCGAACGGGUGAGUAACACGUGAGCAACCUACCUUACACAGGGGGAUAGCCGUUGGAAACGACGAUUAAUACCGCAUGAGACCACAGAAUCGCAUGAUAUAGGGGUCAAAGAUUUAUCGGUGUAAGAAGGGCUCGCGUCUGAUUAGCUAGUUGGAAGGGUAAAGGCCUACCAAGGCGACGAUCAGUAGCCGGUCUGAGAGGAUGAACGGCCACAUUGGAACUGAGACACGGUCCAAACUCUUACGGGAGGCAGCAGUGGGGAAUAUUGCACAAUGGGGGGAACCCUGAUGCAGCGACGCCGCGUGAGCGAAGAAGGUUUUCGAAUCGUAAAGCUCUGUCCUAUGAGAAGAUAAUGACGGUAUCAUAGGAGGAAGCCCCGGCUAAAUACGUG
Molecule: ribosomal RNA, 478 nt
Filed under: uncultured bacterium
Lineage: Bacteria
Description: partial 16S ribosomal RNA
Rfam family: Bacterial small subunit ribosomal RNA
Source: RNAcentral